RNAcentral lists this ribosomal RNA (302 nucleotides) under uncultured bacterium. RNAcentral's name for it is "partial 16S ribosomal RNA". It matches the Rfam family "Bacterial small subunit ribosomal RNA", at positions 508 to 807 of the family's 1533-position model. The record is from RNAcentral.
GCAGUAGCCGCGGGAAUACGUAGGCCCCGAGCGUUGUCCGGAUUUAUUGGGCGUAAAGCGCACGUAGGCGGCUUUGUAAGUUAGAGGUGAAAACCCAGAGCUCAACUCUGGAAUUGCCUUUAAGACUGCAUCGCUUGAAUCCAGGAGAGGUGAGUGGAAUUCCGAGUGUAGAGGUGAAAUUCGUAGAUAUUCGGAAGAACACCAGUGGCGAAGGCGGCUCACUGGACUGGUAUUGACGCUGAGGUGCGAAAGCGUGGGGAGCAAACAGGAUUAGAUACCCGUGUAGUCCCUGUCUCUUAUAC